Molecule: microRNA, 21 nt
Filed under: Pan troglodytes (chimpanzee)
Lineage: Eukaryota; Metazoa; Chordata; Mammalia; Primates; Hominidae
Description: ptr-miR-3132
Source: miRBase by way of RNAcentral
UGGGUAGAGAAGGAGCUCAGA